UCAGCACAGCCAGGUAUAGUCGCUUCCACCCUUAUCAGCACAGCCAGGUAUAGUCGCUUCCACCCUUAUCAGCACAGCCAGGUAUAGUCGCUUCCACCCUUAUCAGCACAGCCAGGUAUAGUCGCUUCCACCCUUAUCAGCACAGCCAGGU
This is a long non-coding RNA of Dreissena polymorpha, 151 nucleotides long. RefSeq lists it as uncharacterized. Lineage: Eukaryota; Metazoa; Mollusca; Bivalvia; Myida; Dreissenidae. The transcript is spliced from 3 exons. The record is from RefSeq and is a predicted model, not a curated record.